RNAcentral lists this ribosomal RNA (398 nucleotides) under uncultured bacterium. RNAcentral's name for it is "bacterial SSU rRNA". It matches the Rfam family "Bacterial small subunit ribosomal RNA", at positions 358 to 773 of the family's 1533-position model. The record is from RNAcentral.
GGAAUCUUGGACAAUGGGGGCAACCCUGAUCCAGCCCAGCCGCGUGAACGAUGAAGGCCCUAGGGGUGUAAAGUUCUUUCACCGGUGAAGAUAAUGACGGUAGCCGGAGAAGAAGCCCCGGCCAACUCUGUGCCAGCAGCCGCGGUAAUACGGAGGGGGCUAGCGUUGUUCGGAAUUACUGGGCGUAAAGCGCGCGUAGGCGGAUUGUUAAGUCGGGGGUGAAAUCCCGGGGCUCAACCCCGGAACUGCCUUCGAUACUGGCAAUCUAGAGGUCGAGAGAGGUGAGUGGAAUGGCGAGUGUAGAGGUGAAAUUCGUAGAUAUUCGCCGGAACACCAGUGGCGAAGGCGGCUCACUGGCUCGAUACUGACGCUGAGGUGCGAAAGCGUGGGGAGCAAAC